Molecule: small nucleolar RNA, 129 nt
Organism: Nycticebus coucang (slow loris)
Lineage: Eukaryota; Metazoa; Chordata; Mammalia; Primates; Lorisidae
Product: small nucleolar RNA SNORA11
Exons: 1
Source: RefSeq, a predicted model, not a curated record
UGGGUGUGCUUAGAGCAAGGGGCCUGAAAAAUGGCUCUCCUGUUUAUAACACACCCAACAGGAAUUUGGGUUCAUUGGGAUGAGGGGCACAAAGCUUGUGGCCUCCCUACAAACAAAUUCCCUACAUGU